AAAAUUAGAGUGUUCAAAGCAGGCAGAUCCAAUUUUCUGCCACCGAAUACAUUAGCAUGGGAUAAUGGAAUAGGACCCUGUCCUCCUAUUUUCAGUUGGUUUUGGCAGCGCGAGGACUAGGGUAAUGAUUAAUAGGGAUAGUUGGGGGCAUUAAUAUUUAAUUGUCAGAGGUGAAAUUCUUGGAUUUAUGAAAGAUUAACUUCUGCGAAAGCAUCUGCCAAGGAUGUUUUCAUUAAUCAAGAACGAAAGUUAGGGGAUCGAAGACGAUCAGAUACCGUCGUAGUCUUAACCAUAAACGAUGCCGACCAGCGAUUAGGAGACGUUGAAUACAAAACACCACCAUCGGCGCGGUCGUCCUUGGCGUGUCUCGGCUUCACGGCCGGGGCGCGCGAGGGCGGUUAGCCCUA
This 407-nucleotide ribosomal RNA is filed under the name Acanthamoeba sp. RNAcentral describes it as "SSU rRNA". It matches the Rfam family "Eukaryotic small subunit ribosomal RNA", at positions 762 to 1115 of the family's 1831-position model. Lineage: Eukaryota; Discosea; Longamoebia; Acanthamoebidae. The record is from RNAcentral.